This 259-nucleotide ribosomal RNA is filed under the name uncultured bacterium. Its description in RNAcentral is "partial 16S ribosomal RNA". It matches the Rfam family "Bacterial small subunit ribosomal RNA", at positions 28 to 280 of the family's 1533-position model. The record is from RNAcentral.
GAUGAACGCUGGCGGCGUGCCUAAUACAUGCAAGUCGAACGAGGUGCUUGAGUAGCAAUACGAGAGUAUCCUAGUGGCGAACGGGUGAGUAACGCGUUGGUGACCUACCCCAAAGUGUGGGAUAACAGUCCGAAAGGAUUGCUAAUACCCGCAUGUCGGUCUUCGGGUUUAGAACCGAUGACGAAAGCAGCAAUGCGCUUUGGGAGGGACCUGCGUCCCAUCAGCAGUUGGUGAGGUAACGGCUCACCAAGGCGACGAC